AUGAGUGACCGAAGGUACGGGUACUCGUACCCACACAACCAAGGGUAUUACAACGGACCGCCGGUGAUGGCGCCGCCGCAGUACGCCCCGCCGCCGAGACGGCAGACGGGAUUCCUCGAAGGAUGCCUGGCUGCUCUGUGCUGCUGCUGCCUCGUCGACGAGUGCUGCUGCGACCCGUCCAUCAUAUUCGUGAGCUGA
RNAcentral lists this ribosomal RNA (198 nucleotides) under Triticum aestivum (bread wheat). RNAcentral describes it as "partial small subunit ribosomal RNA". Lineage: Eukaryota; Viridiplantae; Streptophyta; Magnoliopsida; Poales; Poaceae. The record is from RNAcentral.